Molecule: ribosomal RNA, 253 nt
Filed under: uncultured prokaryote
Description: partial 16S ribosomal RNA
Rfam family: Bacterial small subunit ribosomal RNA
Source: RNAcentral
GACGUAGGGCGCGAGCGUUGUCCGGAAUUAUUGGGCGUAAAGAGCUCGUAGGCGGCUUGUUGCGUCGUCCGUGAAAUCCCGUGGCUCAACUGCGGGCUUGCGGACGAUACGGGCAGGCUAGAGUUCGGUAGGGGAGACUGGAAUUCCUGGUGUAGCGGUGAAAUGCGCAGAUAUCAGGAGGAACACCGGUGGCGAAGGCGGGUCUCUGGGCCGAUCCUGACGCUGAGGAGCGAAAGCGUGGGGAGCGAACAGG